GUGGGGAAUCUUGCGCAAUGGGCGAAAGCCUGACGCAGCCAUGCCGCGUGAAUGAUGAAGGUCUUAGGAUUGUAAAAUUCUUUCACCGGGGACGAUAAUGACGGUACCCGGAGAAGAAGCUCCGUCUAACUUCGUGCCAGCAGCCGCGGUAAUACGAAGGGGGCUAGCGUUGCUCGGAAUUACUGGGCGUAAAGGGCGCGUAGGCGGACAGCUUAGUCAGAGGUGAAAGCCCAGGGCUCAACCUUGGAAUUGCCUUUGAUACUGGCUGUCUUGAGUUUGGGAGAGGUGAGUGGAACUCCGAGUGUAGAGGUGAAAUUCGUAGAUAUUCGGAAGGACACCAGUGGCGAAGGCGACUCACUGGCCCAAUACUGACGCUGAGGAGCGAAAGCGUGGGGAGCAAACAGGAUUAGAAACCCGAGUAGUCC
RNAcentral lists this ribosomal RNA (425 nucleotides) under uncultured bacterium. RNAcentral's name for it is "partial 16S ribosomal RNA". It matches the Rfam family "Bacterial small subunit ribosomal RNA", at positions 354 to 796 of the family's 1533-position model. The record is from RNAcentral.